GUUUAUUCCUUGAAUGCCAACAUCCUUUGAUCUACCGACAAUUUACCUGUAAAAUUAUGUUGGCGUUCGAGGAAUAGGUGCAAGUAGUUAUCACAACAAAAGUGCAUGCUUAUCAAAACAAUCAUACUAAUUAAACAUGAUAGGUAAAUUACAGGUAGCUCAAUCCAAUUCAUAUUUGUCAAGUUGUUGAAAGUCAUUUUUUGCUGUUACUGCUCGAACAGUAUGGAUUUUCUUAAAAUAAAUAGAGUCUUUCAACUUUGAUGUGGCUUUUUUUCUAUAUUUUCAUAGUUGUGUGUGCUGUAAUAUCCUCCCAUAUUAAUUGAUAGUUUUUUUUUUAUUUUGUAGCUCGUAUUGGAUUACAUUGUGUUAUUUUGUUCAGUUGUUCAGG
This 388-nucleotide long non-coding RNA is filed under the name Mytilus galloprovincialis (Mediterranean mussel). Lineage: Eukaryota; Metazoa; Mollusca; Bivalvia; Mytilida; Mytilidae. The record is from RNAcentral.